AUGCCGCUUCUCGCCAUGGACGGCAUGGAGUUCUUCUUCGAUGAAUCUGCAUCGGGGUUCGUGUCGCGGUUGGACGGUGGAGUUUUCUUAAGGGGUCUAGUUGCCGGCGAGCAACUUACUAAAGGCGACACAAGUGGAACAGAGGAUGCGGAGGAGGAUUUGAUUUCUUCUCUUCCCAUGGGGCGAAUUGGAGGCGGCAUGGAUUGUGAAGGGGGCGAAGGUGCUGGUACAGGGGGCUACGCAUCGUAUGAUCUUGGCGGCGAAGGCAUGAGCGAUUCCUGCGAGACAGGCGGUGCAAAUAUAGUCCCAAAUGACAUGGACCAGGAUGCAGAUGAAGAUAGAGUGGGAGUGUCAAAUGCAAACCAGUCUUCUUGGACCAGGAGGGUCAGAGUUGGAAAAGCGGCAGAUGAGAGGGAGCCCAGCCCUUCAAGGAUGCCUGCCCUUGAAGCUUCUAUCCGUGCAUUUGUUGACAAAAAGUCUAAUAAUGUUGUCAAUCCAUCGAUUGGGACUAGUUUUGAUUCCGUCCAAGUGGGUACGAGUUUUAAAAUCUUUAUUCGUGGGAGGUUGGUUUUGGGUUGCGCUAUGCAAAAAGACGUUUGA
This 600-nucleotide ribosomal RNA is filed under the name Triticum aestivum (bread wheat). RNAcentral's name for it is "partial small subunit ribosomal RNA". The record is from RNAcentral. Lineage: Eukaryota; Viridiplantae; Streptophyta; Magnoliopsida; Poales; Poaceae.